UACGAGAGGACCGGAGUGGACGCACCUCUGGUGCAUCGGUUGUCACGCCAGUGGCACAGCCGAGUAGCUAAGUGCGGAAGAGAUAACCGCUGAAAGCAUCUAAGCGGGAAACUCGUUCCAAGAUGAGUCUUGCCGGGGCCUCGAGCCCCCUGAAGAGUCGUUCGAGACCAGGACGCUAAUAGGCCGGGUGUGGAAGCGCAGCAAUGCGUUAAGCUGACCGGUACUAAUCGCUCGUGAGGCUUGACCCU
RNAcentral lists this ribosomal RNA (248 nucleotides) under Rubrivivax sp. Its description in RNAcentral is "partial 23S ribosomal RNA". It matches the Rfam family "Bacterial large subunit ribosomal RNA", at positions 2682 to 2925 of the family's 2925-position model. Lineage: Bacteria; Pseudomonadati; Pseudomonadota; Betaproteobacteria; Burkholderiales; Sphaerotilaceae. The record is from RNAcentral.